This 21-nucleotide non-coding RNA is filed under the name Caenorhabditis elegans. Lineage: Eukaryota; Metazoa; Nematoda; Chromadorea; Rhabditida; Rhabditidae. The record is from RNAcentral.
UUAGUCAUUUUUAAAUUCAAU